RNAcentral lists this long non-coding RNA (420 nucleotides) under Elaeis guineensis (African oil palm). Its description in RNAcentral is "long non-coding RNA (EGUI_LNC009225)". Lineage: Eukaryota; Viridiplantae; Streptophyta; Magnoliopsida; Arecales; Arecaceae. The record is from RNAcentral.
GACCUCAUGAACCUCUUCCUCACUAUCUGACUCCAGGAAGCCAAAGUUGAGAUCAGAAAAAUGGUUCCUGACCUUCUCCUUGAAAUCUUCGACCCCCUGUAUGUAAGAAAUGAGAUGAACUCCAACUUGAUCUCCAAAAAUUCAGUCAAAGACUUGAAAGCUUGGACCAAGUCGAUCUUGACAGCCUCUAGCUCCCCCUCAUGCUUCUUCUUCUCGACUGAUAGUCGAGCUUCAAUUUCCCUCCGAGCUUUGGAGAGCUCGGACUCCAGUCACUUCAUCCCUUCCUCCAGCAAAUUGAUCUUCUCUUCGACCUUCCGUUUGGACAGCUCGAUGUCGUCCGCCCUUCUAUUGGCCUAGUUGGCCUUUUUCUCGACCUCUCUCGAGAUGUGCCGAGCUUCACGCACCGUCUCCAAGAAGUGA